GCCCGGAUGGCUCCGUGGUUGAGCGUCUGCCUAUGCACCAGGAGGUCAGGGUUCGAGUCCCGGUCAGGGCA
Molecule: non-coding RNA, 71 nt
Organism: Myotis lucifugus (little brown bat)
Lineage: Eukaryota; Metazoa; Chordata; Mammalia; Chiroptera; Vespertilionidae
Source: Rfam